CAGUAGCCGCGGUAAUACGUAGGUCCCGAGCGUUGUCCGGAUUUAUUGGGCGUAAAGCGAGCGCAGGCGGUUAGAUAAGUCUGAAGUUAAAGGCUGUGGCUUAACCAUAGUACGCUUUGGAAACUGUUUAACUUGAGUGCAAGAGGGGAGAGUGGAAUUCCAUGUGUAGCGGUGAAAUGCGUAGAUAUAUGGAGGAACACCGGUGGCGAAAGCGGCUUUCUGGCUUGUAACUGACGCUGAGGCUCGAAAGCGUGGGGAGCAAACAGGAUUAGAUACCCCUGUAGUCCCUGUCUCUUAUACC
This 301-nucleotide ribosomal RNA is filed under the name uncultured bacterium. RNAcentral describes it as "partial 16S ribosomal RNA". It matches the Rfam family "Bacterial small subunit ribosomal RNA", at positions 509 to 808 of the family's 1533-position model. The record is from RNAcentral.